This is a long non-coding RNA of Oreochromis aureus, 242 nucleotides long. RefSeq lists it as uncharacterized. The record is from RefSeq and is a predicted model, not a curated record. The transcript has 3 exons. NCBI's taxonomy places the organism in Eukaryota, Metazoa, Chordata, Actinopteri, Cichliformes, Cichlidae.
ACUCUCCAGUCUGUGUUGCUCUCUGUCGCCCUCUGUUGUUCAACUCUGAUCAUAAAGUUUUGUCUCCGAGGAAAUGAAACCUUGCUUGCUAUAAAAAUCAGCCCAUUUCAGAGCAGACGCAGAGCAGAUAAAGACAUGGACCCCGUGACAGCUGUGUGCAGUGCUGCAGGAGCAGUAGGUGCUGUAGUCGCCGCUCCUGCUCUUCUGGGAGCUGCUGGUUUCACCUCAGCAGGAAUAGCUGC